This 69-nucleotide transfer RNA is filed under the name Ictidomys tridecemlineatus (thirteen-lined ground squirrel). RNAcentral's name for it is "Spermophilus tridecemlineatus (thirteen-lined ground squirrel) tRNA". It matches the Rfam family "tRNA". Rfam says of the family: Transfer RNA (tRNA) molecules are approximately 80 nucleotides in length. Their secondary structure includes four short double-helical elements and three loops (D, anti-codon, and T loops). The record is from Rfam by way of RNAcentral. Lineage: Eukaryota; Metazoa; Chordata; Mammalia; Rodentia; Sciuridae.
GGGAUUGUGGCUCAGUGGUAGAACACUUGCCUAGCAUGCAUGAGGCACUGGGUUCGAUUCCUAGCACCA